GACUAGCCCUUAAGCUUUACACGCGUUAGACGAACAGCCUGGAAAGGCUGACGAUACAGGGUGAUAGUCCCGUAGUUGACGACGUGUGUUCAGUGAAAUCGAGUAGGGCGGGACACGUGAUAUCCUGUCUGAAUAUGGGGGGACCAUCCUCCAAGGCUAAAUACUACUGACUGACCGAUAGUGAACCAGUACCGUGAGGGAAAGGCGAAAAGAACCCCUGUGAGGGGAGUGAAAUAGAACCUGAAACCGUGUACGUACAAGCAGUAGGAGCAGGCUUGUCCUGUGACUGCGUACCUUUUGUAUAAUGGGUCAGCGACUUAUAUUCAGUGGCAAGGUUAACCAUCUAGGGGAGCCGUAGGGAAACCGAGUCUUAACUGGGCGUUCAGUCUCUGGAUAUAGACCCGAAACCAGGUGAUCUAGCCAUGGGCAGGUUGAAGGUUGAGUAACAUCAACUGGAGGACCGAACCGACUAAUGUUGAAAAAUUAGCGGAUGACUUGUGGCUAGGGGUGAAAGGCCAAUCAAACCUGGAGAUAGCUGGUUCUCCCCGAAAGCUAUUUAGGUAGCGCCUCGGACGAAUACUACUGGGGGUAGAGCACUGUUAAGGCUAGGGGGUCAUCCCGACUUACCAACCCUUUGCAAACUCCGAAUACCAGUAAGUACUAUCCGGGAGACACACGGCGGGUGCUAACGUCCGUCGUGGAGAGGGAAACAACCCAGACCGCCAGCUAAGGUCCCAAAUUACUACUAAGUGGGAAACGAUGUGGGAAGGCUCAGACAGCCAGGAUGUUGGCUUAGAAGCAGCCAUCAUUUAAAGAAAGCGUAAUAGCUCACUGGUCGAGUCGGCCUGCGCGGAAGAUGUAACGGGGCUAAGUAGUAAACC
This 881-nucleotide ribosomal RNA is filed under the name Vibrio alginolyticus. Its description in RNAcentral is "partial 23S ribosomal RNA". It matches the Rfam family "Bacterial large subunit ribosomal RNA", at positions 302 to 1195 of the family's 2925-position model. The record is from RNAcentral. Lineage: Bacteria; Pseudomonadati; Pseudomonadota; Gammaproteobacteria; Vibrionales; Vibrionaceae.